ACCAAAACUACUCUUAGUAUUAUCAACAAUAUUCUUAUAUUAUGAUCUUGGUGUAAGACUCCUUAAUUUAUUUAUACUUUGAAUCUUUUUUCCAUUACCUUUUGAUUUUUUAUUUAUUUUUUUUUUUUUUUUUAUGUUAGGUAUCAUCUAUUUGGUAUUGUUGAAUAUCUACUUUCUCCAUUUUUAAUAUUUUAUAAUCUUGAUUCUUGGAUAUGCAUUAGGUGAUGCUAUUUACUUAGAUUUGCAGCUCAAAAUAGACUUUAAUUCUAUAUUUUGUCCUUGACCUUAUAUUCAAUAUGCACU
Molecule: long non-coding RNA, 303 nt
Filed under: Physcomitrium patens
Lineage: Eukaryota; Viridiplantae; Streptophyta; Bryopsida; Funariales; Funariaceae
Description: long non-coding RNA (PPAT_LNC012053)
Source: RNAcentral